This 405-nucleotide ribosomal RNA is filed under the name uncultured microorganism. RNAcentral describes it as "bacterial SSU rRNA". It matches the Rfam family "Archaeal small subunit ribosomal RNA", at positions 330 to 735 of the family's 1478-position model. The record is from RNAcentral.
GUGCAGCAGUCGAGAAACCUCCGCAAUACACGAAAGUGUGACGGGGCCAUCCCGAGUGCCGUCCGCUGAGGACGGCUUUUCCCCAGUGUACACAGCUGGGGGAAUAAGGAGAGGGCAAGCCUGGUGUCAGCCGCCGCGGUAAUACCAGCUCUCCGAGUGGUGGGGACGCUUAUUGGGCCUAAAGCAUCCGUAGCCGGCUGGGCAAGUCCUCCGUUAAAUCCAACGAUUCAAUCGUUGGGCUGCGGGGGAUACUGUCCAGCUUGGGGGCGGGAGAGGCCGACGGUAUUCCCCGGGGUAGGGGUGAAAUCCUAUAAUCCCGGGAGGAGCACCAGUGGCGAAGGCUGUCGGCUAGAACGCGCCCGACGGUGAGGGGAUGAAAGCUGGGGGAGCGAACCGGAUUAGAUA